GUUCUUGAGCAAGGCUGCAAAUGGGUUUCGCGUGCUGCCCCCAACGUCGGUUGGGCGUGGAGCGACUUCGCUCCGCACUCGUUUGCCUGCCGAACCUGUCCCUGUAGGGCUGCGAGAGUCGGUGCCGG
RNAcentral lists this non-coding RNA (128 nucleotides) under uncultured eukaryote. The record is from RNAcentral.